AGAAGGGUGCCGUCGGGCACCUCUACAGCGUUCUCCAAAUCCCCGUCCUCCUCAAAAUCCUCGGCGGCAUCCUUCUCCUCCCCGCCGGCCGGGCCAACUCCUCCUCCUCCUGCCCGCCGGCCGCCGCGCUCGCGCUCGUCGCAUCCCCGUGGGCGUUCUGGAUCGGCACGUGCGUAACGGUGCUGGCGUGCUGCUGUUCGGGUCCGGAUGCGGCGGCGUACCGGUGCUACUGCUCGGGUCCGGACGCCGCAGAGGUGGCCACGAAUAGGGCAGUCAGCGUCGAUUUAACCCCUGCGGUGGCCUCCUGACAGGGAUACCGGCGUCGAUCUGGCCCCUGCGGUCGCCGCGGACGGGGCUGCCGGCGUCGAUCUGGCCCCUGCGGUCGCCGUGGACGGGGCUGCCGGCGUCGAUUUGGCCUCUGUGGUGGCCGCAGAUAGGGCUGCCAGCGUCGAUCUGGGCCCUGCGGUCGCCGCGGACGGGGCUGCCGGUGCUGAGAUGAAGCUGGAGGUAGUUGCGCGCCUGGCCAAAAGGUGCUGGGUGAGGACCUGCACCCAGAGGUGGAUGCUCUUCUGGCCGAGGUGCUUUCCAAGAUGAAACUUUCUACCACGAAUGCUUCAUCGACUUGUAUAAGCUCUUGUUGGUGAUCAGCGGCUUCUAAGUUGAGGUCAAAAGCAUCUUCUGAAUAUGGAGCAUCAAAGUUGAAACCUUCAUCUUGUUGAUGGUCAUCGUCAACAGCAAGAACUGCAGUAUGGCAGCAAUAUUGAGGGCAUGCACACUUCCAUGUUGCUCUUUCUGGAGAUAGUGGGACUGACCUUUGAGUGGAUGCACUUGUGCUACCUUGAUGUGAUCAAAUUUUCAUCACCAGCAGGCUCUUGAUUUAGGUUUGGCUAUCAAGAGCUCUUCACUUUCUUCAACUGAUAUUCUAUUUAGAUCUAUGGCCAUGGUCGAAGAUGGAACUGUCAAGCAAUGGUAGAGUUGGAACGUCUAGAUGGCUUGUGUUGUUCAUCAGAAGCAUGUGAAGGCUUUUUAUAGUGGGGCAAUGGCGCCAGGUUCCCAAAAUUCAAAAUUUUGGCUUCCCGCUCUCAAUGUCGCGAGUGCUGGAAGUUUCUGUAAUUUCGUGGAGUUCUUAGUUGUGGCCACAUGUGUCGUUGUAGACCUUGUGUGUUCCUGGCUGUGUUUAGAUCCCUGGAAAAGUGGAGAAAAAGUCACAUCGGAUACUGUAGCGCACUGUAGCACUUUUUGUUUGUUUGUGGUAAAUAUUAUCCUACCAUGAUCUAACUAGGCUCA
Long non-coding RNA from Panicum virgatum (switchgrass), 1287 nucleotides. RefSeq lists it as uncharacterized. The record is from RefSeq and is a predicted model, not a curated record. Lineage: Eukaryota; Viridiplantae; Streptophyta; Magnoliopsida; Poales; Poaceae. The transcript is spliced from 4 exons.